RNAcentral lists this ribosomal RNA (194 nucleotides) under uncultured Lysinibacillus sp. RNAcentral describes it as "partial 16S ribosomal RNA". It matches the Rfam family "Bacterial small subunit ribosomal RNA", at positions 338 to 524 of the family's 1533-position model. Lineage: Bacteria; Bacillati; Bacillota; Bacilli; Caryophanales; Bacillaceae. The record is from RNAcentral.
CCUACGGGAGGCAGCAGUAGGGAAUCUUCCACAAUGGGCGAAAGCCUGAUGGAGCAACGCCGCGUGAGUGAAGAAGGAUUUCGGUUCGUAAAACUCUGUUGUAAGGGAAGAACAAGUACAGUAGUAACUGGCUGUACCUUGACGGUACCUUAUUAGAAAGCCACGGCCAACUACGUGCCAGCAGCCGCGGUAAU